RNAcentral lists this ribosomal RNA (253 nucleotides) under uncultured bacterium. RNAcentral describes it as "partial 16S ribosomal RNA". It matches the Rfam family "Bacterial small subunit ribosomal RNA", at positions 524 to 776 of the family's 1533-position model. The record is from RNAcentral.
UACGUAGGGAGCAAGCGUUGUCCGGAAUCAUUGGGCGUAAAGAGCGUGUAGGCGGUCCGGUAAGUCCGCUCUGAAAGUCCGGGGCUCAACCCCGGGAGGCGGGCGGAUACUGUCGGGCUAGAGUCCGGAAGAGGCAAGUGGAAUUCCUGGUGUAGCGGUGAAAUGCGCAGAUAUCAGGAGGAACACCGAUGGCGAAGGCAGCUUGCUGGGACGGUACUGACGCUGAGACGCGAAAGCGUGGGGAGCAAACAGG